AAGAUCGGUACGGGCACUGAGAGGUGGAGCCCGGAGAUGGGGGCUGAGAAACGGCCCCAGGCCCUACGGGGUGCAGCAGGCGCGAAAACUCCGCAAUACGCGAAAGCGUGACGGGGGGACCCCAAGUGUCAUGCCUUUGGGUAUGACUUUUGCAGAGUGUAAAAAGCUCUGCGAAUAAGAGCUGGGUAAGACCGGUGCCAGCCGCCGCGGUAACACCGGCAGCUCGAGUGGUGGCCGCUAUUAUUGGGCCUAAAGCGUCCGUAGCCGGCUCGGUAAGUCCUUGGGAAAAUCCGCUCGUUCAACGGACGGGACCCUGAGGAUACUGCCGAACUUGGGAACGAGAGAAGUCGGAAGUACUCCUGGGGUAGCGGUGAAAUGCUGUAAUCCUAGGGGGACUACCAGUGGCGAAGGCGUCCGACUAGAGCGGGUCCGACGGUGAGGGACGAAAGCCAGGGGAGCGAACGGGAUUAGAUACCCCGGUAGUCCUGGCCGUAAACGCUGUGGGCUAGGUGUUGCACGCUCUACGGGGGCGUGCAGUGCCGAAGAGAAGUUGAUAAGCCUACCGCCUGGGAAGUACCGUCGCAAGGCGGAAACUUAAAGGAAUUGGCGGGGGAGCACCACAAGGGGUGAAGUCUGCGGUUCAAUUGGAUUCAACGCCGGAAAUCUCACCGGGAGCGACGGCAGGAUGAAGGCCAAGCUAACGACUUUGCUGGACGAGCCGAGAGGAGGUGCAUGGCCGUCGUCAGCUCGUACCGUGAGGCGUCCUGUUAAGUCAGGCAACGAGCGAGACCCGUGCCCUUAGUUGUCAGCGAAUCCCUGCGGGGAUGACGGUCACACUAGGGGGACCGCUUGCGACAAGCAAGAGGAAGGAGCGAGCGACGAUAGGUCAGUAUGCCCCGAAUCUCCCGGGCUACACGCGGACUGCAAUGGCCGGGACAAAAGGUCCCGACUUCGAAAGAAGGAGGAAAUCCUCAAACCCGGUCGUAGUUCGGAUUGAGGGCUGAAAUUCGCCCUCAUGAAGCCGGAAUCCCUAGUAAUCGCGUGUCAUUAUCGCGCGGUGAAUAUGUCCCUGCUCCUUGCACACACC
RNAcentral lists this ribosomal RNA (1087 nucleotides) under uncultured archaeon. Its description in RNAcentral is "bacterial SSU rRNA". It matches the Rfam family "Archaeal small subunit ribosomal RNA", at positions 260 to 1347 of the family's 1478-position model. The record is from RNAcentral.